GGCGCACGGGUGAGUAACACGUGGGAACAUACCUCAUAGUACGGAAUAACUGCGGGAAACUGUAGCUAAUACCGUAUAUUCCAGAAAUGGGAAAGAUUUAUCGCUAUGUGAUUGGCCCGCGCAAGAUUAGCUUGUUGGUAAGGUAACGGCUUACCAAGGCUCCGAUCUUUAGCUGGUUUGAGAGGAUGAUCAGCCACACUGGGACUGAGACACGGCCCAGACUCCUACGGGAGGCAGCAGUAGGGUAUAUUGGACAAUGGGGGAAACCCUGAUCCAGCAAUGCAGCGUGAGUGACGAAGGCCUUAGGGUUGUAAAACUCUUUCAUCGGUGAGGAUAAUGACAGUAGCCGAAGAAGAAGGACCGGCUAAUUCCGUGCCAGCAGCCGCGGUAAUACGGAAGGUCCUAGCGUUGUUCGGAAUUACUGGGCGUAAAGCGCAUGUAGGCGGAACAAAAAGUUAGAAGUGAAAUCCCUGGGCUCAACCUAGGAAUUGCUUUUAAAACUUUUGUUCUGGAACUCAGGAGAGGAAAAUGGAAUUUCCAGUGUAGAGGUGAAAUUCGUAGAUAUUGGAAGGAACACCAGUGGCGAAGGCGAUUUUCUGGACUGAUAUUGACGCUGAGAUGCGAAGGCAUGGGUAGCAAACGGGAUUAGAUACCCCGGUAGUCCAUGCAGUAAACGAUGGGUGCUAGUCGUCGGACUUUUGUUCGGUGUCGUAGUUAACGCGUUAAGCACCC
RNAcentral lists this ribosomal RNA (732 nucleotides) under uncultured marine bacterium. RNAcentral's name for it is "bacterial SSU rRNA". It matches the Rfam family "Bacterial small subunit ribosomal RNA", at positions 97 to 869 of the family's 1533-position model. The record is from RNAcentral.